RNAcentral lists this transfer RNA (105 nucleotides) under Lentinula raphanica. RNAcentral's name for it is "tRNA-Thr". It matches the Rfam family "tRNA". From Rfam's summary of the family: Transfer RNA (tRNA) molecules are approximately 80 nucleotides in length. Their secondary structure includes four short double-helical elements and three loops (D, anti-codon, and T loops). Lineage: Eukaryota; Fungi; Basidiomycota; Agaricomycetes; Agaricales; Omphalotaceae. The record is from RNAcentral.
UCCUUCUUAGCUCAGUUGGUAGAGCGCGUCACUAGUAUUUACUAGUAUUGAGAACUCUAUUGGAUGUCUAUGACGAGGUCAGUCGUUCGAGUCGGCUAGAAGGAA